This 350-nucleotide unclassified non-coding RNA is filed under the name Hevea brasiliensis (rubber tree). Lineage: Eukaryota; Viridiplantae; Streptophyta; Magnoliopsida; Malpighiales; Euphorbiaceae. The record is from RNAcentral.
AGGUAUUCUGGAGCUAUAUGCCCUGCUGUACCACAUACAUCAGUGAUGACAUGAGAAUCAUUGUAGUCCAUCAAUUUAGCCAGCCCAAAGUCCCCAACAACAGCUUCAAACUCCUCAUUCAACAAAAUAUUUGCAGCUUUCACAUCACGGUGAAUAACUUUUGGAUUACAGUGAACAUGCAAAUAAGAACGACCCCUUGCAGAUCCCAAUGCAACUCUCUUUCUGGUAGGCCAAUCAAGUGCAGGCUGUGAUGGAGGUCGCUCUCUUAAGUGGGAGGCAACACUCCCAUUAGCCAUGUAGGGGUAAACAAGAAGCUUUUCAGAAGUUGUCAUACAAAACCCACGUAGCCU